RNAcentral lists this ribosomal RNA (776 nucleotides) under Bacillus cereus. Its description in RNAcentral is "bacterial SSU rRNA". It matches the Rfam family "Bacterial small subunit ribosomal RNA", at positions 19 to 775 of the family's 1533-position model. The record is from RNAcentral. Lineage: Bacteria; Bacillati; Bacillota; Bacilli; Caryophanales; Bacillaceae.
AUGGCUCAGGAUGAACGCUGGCGGCGUGCCUAAUACAUGCAAGUCGAGCGAAUGGAUUAAGAGCUUGCUCUUAUGAAGUUAGCGGCGGACGGGUGAGUAACACGUGGGUAACCUGCCCAUAAGACUGGGAUAACUCCGGGAAACCGGGGCUAAUACCGGAUAACAUUUUGAACUGCAUGGUUCGAAAUUGAAAGGCGGCUUCGGCUGUCACUUAUGGAUGGACCCGCGUCGCAUUAGCUAGUUGGUGAGGUAACGGCUCACCAAGGCAACGAUGCGUAGCCGACCUGAGAGGGUGAUCGGCCACACUGGGACUGAGACACGGCCCAGACUCCUACGGGAGGCAGCAGUAGGGAAUCUUCCGCAAUGGACGAAAGUCUGACGGAGCAACGCCGCGUGAGUGAUGAAGGCUUUCGGGUCGUAAAACUCUGUUGUUAGGGAAGAACAAGUGCUAGUUGAAUAAGCUGGCACCUUGACGGUACCUAACCAGAAAGCCACGGCUAACUACGUGCCAGCAGCCGCGGUAAUACGUAGGUGGCAAGCGUUAUCCGGAAUUAUUGGGCGUAAAGCGCGCGCAGGUGGUUUCUUAAGUCUGAUGUGAAAGCCCACGGCUCAACCGUGGAGGGUCAUUGGAAACUGGGAGACUUGAGUGCAGAAGAGGAAAGUGGAAUUCCAUGUGUAGCGGUGAAAUGCGUAGAGAUAUGGAGGAACACCAGUGGCGAAGGCGACUUUCUGGUCUGUAACUGACACUGAGGCGCGAAAGCGUGGGGAGCAAACAG